UCUUCUAAUCCACAUUAAAAACAUGAUUUUAAAAAUUAUUAUACUUAUCGUUUGUGGGGAACUGAUCCAAAGCAUCCGAAUGUCUGAAUUGUGAAACUAACUUUGCAGUUCCGUCUUCCAAAGUGCUUAAGUUAGUUUCCUACUUUUACUGGAGUUCAUUAAACUGUACGUUUCCGGGCUGGAUUCAUUUACGAAAUCGAAACUGAGAUGAGGCAGAUUUCCGGAAAGUUAUGUUCAUGUACGUCGUGUGGAUGUGAAUAUAAAAUAAAAGGCUAUACGGAAAUACGAGUUGCGCAGCAUAGAAUAAGGAAAAGAGAGAAGAAAACUUAAGUAUUGAGAGCAUGAGCCCCGUGUCGGGUAUUUCAUUGGCGGACUGCGAUACCCGGAAGCUGCUUUCUUUGCAGAAUGCAGAUAUAAUCCCGGAGCCCUGAUUGUCUAAACCAUGGCGCACCGUUCCCAUGAAGAGGUCUCACUCGCUGGCCUCUUGCUGGAUUACCUGAAGGAGCUCAGUGAUGCCCAGCUGAAGGAGUUUAAAUGGAACCCGAGUCACAUGGGGCAUAAAGAGUUAAAAGGACUUGAAGGACUUGAAUAGAAUGACAUCGCCGGCAUAAUGAUAAAUUCCUACUGUGAAGACUCAUGCUUGAAAUCCUGGGGAAGAUGAACCUGAAUGACCUUGCUCAGAGACUGAAUAAAGACCUGCAGAGGAGUAACGAGGCAGGAAGAGAGCUGGAUGAAGGAACUACUGGUCUGUGGUGUGCUCAAUACUCUACAAGUCAAUAAAAACCAAUAAAAUCUCAUUAUCACACUUUACUUUAACUAAUGUGGCAUGAAAAGUGUGGAUGAGAAGUACAAAGAUGUCCAAAGACAUAUUAAAAUGAGACUUUCAUGAGAAGUUUCAAUGUAUAUUUGAGGCAUUGCCAAAACAAGGGAAGACCAUCUUCCUCAAUGAUAUCUACACGGAGCUGUACAUCACAGAAGCUGGGAAUGGCAGAGUAAAUAAUGAACAUGAGAUUCUAGAAUUCUGAAUCCUGGAAAAAUGCUUCCCCAGAACACACCACCAAAUGCAGUGAAAACCAAGAUAUUGAUUUUGCAUUUAAUUCUUCCUUUCCGUGACCUAAAUCGGUUGAAAAAGAAGCAGUAUAGCCUCAUUCAGCUUAUUCAUCAGCACUUUCUAGAAAUGAAGGAAACAGAAAAGAUCACAUGGGGGAAAAUUGUGUUUAUCCUUGAUGGCCUGGAUGAAUGACAUCUUACCCUUAAUUUCAAAGACAAUGAGACCUGGUGUGAUGCAACGGAUACCACUACAGUUGAUGUGCUGUUAAUCAACCUUAUCACAGGUGUUACAUGAAUGCACACGUUGGUAUUUUUGUGUGUGUACAUGUGCCUCUGUUCUUUUGCCAGGUCACCGGAUCCAGCUGGGGGGGCUUGGGACUUUGCUCCGCCUCUUCCUUGUCAAGUAGGAGGGGCUUGACCUACAAAAAGCUGGUUCUGUUGCUGCUCUGAGUCUGCUUUGCUGCUGCUCUAAUGCUGUUGCUGCUAUUCAGCUCUGCUGUUUUGUGCUGUAUAAUAAGAGUGUGACGCUACUGAUGUGAAAUGCUGUUCCUGAGAGGUGUUGAGGUAUGGAGUGGAGGCAACCAUGGUUAGCAUGUGCACGCAUAUACACUCUAGUGUAGCUGACCAAACUCUUAAAAACACAAGGUAUGGGGCAGGUACCACUUGGUGUACGUUUGGUUCUCCUUCCCUCCGCUCUCCUCUGGAUAAGCUCCCAGCAGGCAGCAGCCAAUCAGAUCCCUCCUGACUGCAUCCAAUAGCUGACGCAUUUAAUGAUGCACAGAAGGAAGAAUACUUCAUGAAAAGGUUCAGCAACAAGGCCCUGGGCAACAAAAUUGCUGCACACAUUAAAUCAUCAAGGACCUUGUUCAUCAUGUGCCGUAUUACAAUCUUCUGCUGGAUUUCAGAAACUGUCCUUGAGCGACUAAUAGGUAACGAACUCGGCAAAGAAAUACCCCAAACUCUGACCCAAAUGUACACUCACUUACUGCUCAUUCAAAUAAGCCUUAAAACCAGAAAUAUCAAGGGAAGUAUUUGACGAAUUCAAAAACAUUGUCAAAGGAAGAUAAAAUACUAUUCGCAAACUUGGUGAGCUCUCUCUUCAUGCUCUGGAAAACCUGAUAUUUUAUGAAGAGGAUCUGAGAUCUUGUGGCAUCGCUACCAAUGAAGCAUCUGUGUAUUCCCCUCUAUUCACAGAAAUCUUUAUAGAGGAGUAUGGGUUGUAUCAAGAAAAAGCAUAUAGCUAAAUACACCUGAGCUUUCAGCGGUAUCUUGCUGCUCUGUAUGCCGUUUACAAAUUCACACACGAGAACAAAAAUGCAUUGGACCCAGACUAUGGGGUAGAAAAACAAGAACAAUGUGAAGUGUCAAAUGAUCAUGAUGUCAACUCAGGAAACAUGGGAGAAUCAGAAAGAUCAGAUUGCAUGAUAAAUGAUGAUGCGAAUGCAAUUAAGGAGAAAAAAUUAAAUAUUUUUGAAUAUUGCAAGUAUCUAUACCAUGUCUCCAAACCAAAGAGAGACUCAUUGCUUGUUUUACACAAAAGUGCCAUAUACCAGGCCUUGUGGAAUAAAAACGGGCAUCUGGACCUUUUUCUCCAGUUCCUUCUGGGCUUCUCAUUAGAAUCUAAUCAGACUUUGCUGCAAGGUCUGCUGACAUCAACAAAAAAUGCAAACUGUACUGCUGAGGACACAGUGGAGUGCAUCGAGGGCUUGAUCAGGAUGGACUUUUCUCCAGAUAGAAUUAUCAAUCUGUUCCACUGUCUGAAUGAAAUGAAUGACCAUUCUCCAGAGAAGGAAAUCCAGACAUACUUGAAAGCAAGAAAUCUUACAGAUGUCAAACUGGAAGCAUUCCAAUGUUCAGCUUUUCUCAUCUGUGAAAAGCACAGGGCACCAGUGGCAGACCUGCAAAUUCUUGUAUUCUAUGGCAAAAGCCAAUCGAGCUCCACGGUGCCUGUGACUACCUGUCUCCUGGAAUCUCCUCCAUGCCCUUGAGACUGUGCUGGAAGAUACAGUAAACCUUCUGGCAAUGACACGUAUUGAUGCGCAAUCCUGGAGGGGUUGGACGACCUGUGCAAUUUCUGUAGGGUCCAGGUAUUGCCUCAUGCUACCAGUAGUAACACUGACCGUAGCCAAAUGCAAAACUAAUGAAAAAUAGUUAAACCUAUUACAUGCGUCUGCAAAAUCAAAUCCAGCGAUUCACCUUCUGGUCAUUGCAAGGUACUACCUCCUAAAAGACAAAAUGCAUUUUGUGGUGCCUUUCAUGACUCAGCAAAAGAUAAAAUGCAUUUUGUGAUUCUGCAGAAUCAAUUUUGUCCAUGAAAUGACUGCGUAUCAUUCACAAAAUGCAUUUGGUCCACAAAAUGACUUCCUUUAAUUCACAGAAUACAUUUUGUCCACAAAAUGACUUUCUUUAAUUCAUAAAUUGCAUUUUGUCCACAAAAUGAUUCAAAUGUUCAAGUGUCAAGAUACUUGUUCUCCGUUGUUACGUCUGCAUGCGUCGAGUGGGGAAGCAGGCGAGAGAGCCCUGAAUGAUAUCCAAAACGGGGUUUAUUUCGGAUUGACAAGAUGACAGGGGAACACACGGCAAAUCCACGUCAAUGACAGACCUGGGGAAACAGACUUGAACGCGGACUAAAUACAGGACAUGACCUCAGAAUAAACGCAAGACAGCUGAUACGAUGGGAAUUGACACGGGGUUAACGAGGAGGGCGUGGCACACACGAGGACUGGACGCGCAGGUCAUGACAUCCGUCAUCAAUGUCGCCGGUCAAAUAUGGAGUACCACAGGGAUCAAUGCUUGGUCCUUUAUUGUUUUCUUUCUACUGUACAUGCUGCCAUUAGCAAACACAAUGAGAGAAUAUAAUGUUAACUAUCACUCCUAUGCCGACGACACCCAAAUAUACAUUUCGGUUACGUCAUCAACACCACAUCUAUUGUCACCUUAGCUAGUUGUUUUAAUGAAGUCAAGACCUGGAUGGCUGAAAUUUUUUUCUCACUAAACACUCAGAAAACUGAGGUUCUGUUGUUUAGAGGCAAGUCUGCAGAUAGGAAUUUUAUAAUCUCCGCACUCCACUCCAAAGGGCUGAACUUUUCCCUCAGCAGCUCUGCCCGUAACCUAGGUGUCAUGUUAUGUGGGUGUCACAUAACAUGACACCCACAUAACAGAGGUGUCAAAAUCACACUAUGAAGUAGCAGCCGGAGGAGAGUCAGACAUAAAAGUAUCAGCCAGGUCAAUGUCUGCGAGUUUACGUCGUUGGGCACGUGUGAGCACACAGGCCGAAAACACCUUGCGAUGUUCCACAGCAACAUCAUCUGUACCAAGCAUUGGUUCGGGAACGACUUCGGGCAGAGGAACAACUCCUUCCACCGCGAUGUCAUUCCCCAAAAUAAAUGAGAUACCCGGAAUGGGCAGGCGAGUCUGGACCGCAACACGUACAAAACCAGAGAAGUCAGGGGUAUUUAGAAAUACAUUGUGUAAAGGAACAGCCGUCACGCACAAAUCAAUGCCUUGUACCAGGACACUGGUACCACAAUACGACGCAUUAUCAAGAGGGACGAUGCCUUCCAUCAGAAACGAUUGGACAGCACCCGUAUCCCACAGGAUAGUCACAGGGUGUCGGGCGUCAGUCUCACUAAGCGAAACAGAACCAGUAAAUACGAAAGGUUCGAAAGCAGCGUCAAUACCGGAUGAGGGUGAAGAGCUGUCGGGGCAGGCAGCAACAUUCACCUUUCUGGUUGCUGCGGAAGAGGCGGCAGCUUCGUGACUUCGUUUGGCCGCUGUUUGCUUCUCGCCUGCUAGCUCGCUCUGAAUUCGCUUUGCCUUUGGUUUGUUUGCUCGUGUUUGACUGCUUUUGUUCUUGGUUUCCGAUUUUCGCCUCGUCCCUUAUUGUACCUUCGCCCCGGUUUUGACUGUCUGCUUGGUUUUGAACUUUCGCUCGUACUCCGACUUCGCCUCUCUGAUCUCCCCUCUGGAUACUGUCGCUUCGGCUGUGUGUUUGUGUGUUCCACUAGGUGUGUGUAAGGAGUGUCUGCCUUUUUGUUUCUUCGUCAACGUGGGGAUUACUGUUUGUUUGGUUAGGGAGAUACGCCUAGGCAUUGUUGUUUCGUUUCACCUUUUUGUUGUGCUCACUUAGGAUUAACUUAGCUUGUGGUUGUUUUCGGUAGGUGUGUUUUUGUUUGUUUCUUUGGCCUUUGUCACUCAUGACGUUCGUUACACCGAGUGUUUGUGAAGUGUCUGUGAAAAACUAUUUAAAAAAACAUAAAAAGACUCCCUUUGUGUCCCGUGUUCCCUUCUCCUACUCCUGGUUGUCUUGUCGUUCCCAAUCCCUGCUUCCCUUUCACUUUGUUAGGCUCCAACCCUUGACUGGAGCGUAACAGUCAUCUUAGAUACUGUACAAGCCUCUUAUUCAACUCACAUGUGGAUGCAGUAUUGAAGACGUGCUCCCUACAGCUACAUCACAUCGCCAAACUGACGGAUUUCUUACUAUUCAGGACACAGAGAAAUUGAUACAUGCCUUUGAAUAAAGUAGGUUAGACUACUGUAAUGCUCAGUUAUCUGGGAGGACACACUGCAUAUUAAAUACCUUGCUGUGUAUUCAAAAUGCAGCAGCUCGAAUUGUCACCAGAUGGAGGAAGCUUGAACACAUACCCCCUGUUCUUAGUUCCUUUACGUUUAGAGCUGGCUUCAAAGUUCUCCUAUUUACAUAUAAGGCACUUAAAGGUCUACCUCCUGCCUACCUGACAGAAUUACUUCAAGUUUACAGGUCGCAUUGUCCACUCAGAUCAUAGAAUGUAAGUUUCCUUGUCGUUCCACAUAUAAAUAAAGUGAGAGCGGGCGGUAAAGCAUUCUGUUACAGGGUCCCUAUAUUGUGGAGUGAUUAUAUUAACCAAACUAUGGGCUGUACUGUGCCACACAGGGGACUUGUUGUUCUGCAACCUAUGGCAGAGCAAUAUUGAUUUUGUCAUGACCUGCUUGUACGGUCCUUCCGUGUGCCACGUCCCCUCGUUACCUCGUGUGAAACCCUGAUUGUUCCCAGCUGUUUGUUAUUUCCGGCUUGUCCUGUGUGUUUUAGUCCGCGUUCGAGUACGUUUCCCUCGGUUAGUCAUUAACGUUGCCUGUGAGUGAAAUCUUUGUCCGGUAAAUAAACCCUGUUUGCCCACA
Molecule: long non-coding RNA, 6207 nt
Organism: Paramormyrops kingsleyae
Lineage: Eukaryota; Metazoa; Chordata; Actinopteri; Osteoglossiformes; Mormyridae
Source: RefSeq, a predicted model, not a curated record